Long non-coding RNA from Bombina bombina (fire-bellied toad), 239 nucleotides. RefSeq lists it as uncharacterized. The transcript is spliced from 4 exons. The record is from RefSeq and is a predicted model, not a curated record. Lineage: Eukaryota; Metazoa; Chordata; Amphibia; Anura; Bombinatoridae.
GACUGUUCAAACUGUCGGAAUGGAGAAAGAGGUCUUGAGCUUCCCAAUAAGCUUUACAUAGAACUGUCCAUCAAACCCUUGGAAUGGAGGAAGAGGUCUCUUAACUUGAGUUUCCCAAGAAGUUUUUAAUAGAACUGUUCAUCAAACCACUGGAAUGGAGGAAGAGGUUUCUUUACUCAAGGUUCCCAAGAAGUCUUAAAUAGAACUGUUCAGCAAACCCUCGUAAUGGAGGAAGGAGG